AAUGAACGCUGGCGGCAUGCCUAACACAUGCAAGUCGAACGAGACCUUCGGGUCUAGUGGCGCACGGGUGCGUAACGCGUGGGAACCUGCCCUUAGGUACGGAAUAACUCCCCGACAGGGGUGCUAAUACCGGAUAAUGUCUUCGGACCAAAGAUUGAUCGCCUUUGGAUGGGCCCGCGUUGUAUUAGCUAGUUGGUAGGGUAAGAGCCUACCAAGGCGACGAUCCAUAGCUGGUCUGAGAGGAUGAUCAGCCACACUUGGACUGAGACACGGCCCGGACUCCUACGGGAGGGAGCAGAGGGGGAUAUAGCACAAUGGGCGAAAGCAUGAUCCAGCUAUGCCGGGUGAGCGAUUAAGGCCUGAGGGUAGUAAAGCUCUUUUACCCGGGAUGAUAAUGACGGUACCGGGAGAAUAAGCUCCGGCUAACUCCGUG
This 433-nucleotide ribosomal RNA is filed under the name uncultured bacterium. RNAcentral describes it as "partial 16S ribosomal RNA". It matches the Rfam family "Bacterial small subunit ribosomal RNA", at positions 29 to 507 of the family's 1533-position model. The record is from RNAcentral.